This 404-nucleotide ribosomal RNA is filed under the name uncultured bacterium. Its description in RNAcentral is "bacterial SSU rRNA". It matches the Rfam family "Bacterial small subunit ribosomal RNA", at positions 917 to 1322 of the family's 1533-position model. The record is from RNAcentral.
GGGCCCGCACAAGCGGUGGAGCAUGUGGUUUAAUUCGAUGAUACGCGAGGAACCUUACCAGGGCUUAAAUGCAGAAUGACAGAUUGGGAAACCAGUCCUUCUUCGGACAUUUUGCAAGGUGCUGCAUGGUUGUCGUCAGCUCGUGCCGUGAGGUGUCAGGUUAAGUCCUAUAACGAGCGCAACCCCUAUUCUUAAAAGUUGCCAGCGGGUAAUGCCGGGAACUCUAAGGAGACUGCCAGCGCAAGCUGCGAGGAAGGUGGGGAUGACGUCAAAUCAUCACGGCCCUUACGUCCUGGGCUACACACGUGCUACAAUGGAUGGUACAAUGGGCAGCCACUACGCGAGUAGGAGCUAAUCCUCAAACCAUUCUCAGUUCGGAUCGGAGUCUGCAACUCGACUCCGUG